AGUUAUGGCCAUGCCAUGCACAGUGGAAAGUGCCGAAUUGAUGGCCCAGUCAGUACUACGGUUGGGGACAGCCUGGGAAUAUUGAGUGCUGUAACUC
Molecule: non-coding RNA, 97 nt
Organism: Rhizophagus irregularis
Lineage: Eukaryota; Fungi; Glomeromycota; Glomeromycetes; Glomerales; Glomeraceae
Source: Rfam